Molecule: ribosomal RNA, 117 nt
Organism: Sinocyclocheilus anshuiensis
Lineage: Eukaryota; Metazoa; Chordata; Actinopteri; Cypriniformes; Cyprinidae
Source: Ensembl
ACUAGCAGCCAUAUCACCCUGUAGCCCAAGCCUGGUUGCCCAUUGAAGCUAAGCAGGGCUGAGCCUGCUCAGUACCUGGAUGGGAGACCUCCUGGGAAAACUAGGUUGCUGCUGGAA